RNAcentral lists this transfer RNA (19 nucleotides) under Cyrtodactylus majulah. Its description in RNAcentral is "partial tRNA-Cys". The record is from RNAcentral. Lineage: Eukaryota; Metazoa; Chordata; Lepidosauria; Squamata; Gekkonidae.
UUAACGAGACGGGAGAAGA